GUCUAUAGCAAUGUCACCCUGAACAAGCCCAAUGUCUGAUCUCAGAAGCUAAGCAGGGUCGGGCCUGGUUAGUACUUGAAUAGACCACCUAGGAAGACAAGUUGCUUUAGGCA
RNAcentral lists this ribosomal RNA (113 nucleotides) under Pteropus alecto (black flying fox). Lineage: Eukaryota; Metazoa; Chordata; Mammalia; Chiroptera; Pteropodidae. The record is from RNAcentral.